RNAcentral lists this ribosomal RNA (389 nucleotides) under uncultured bacterium. RNAcentral describes it as "partial 16S ribosomal RNA". It matches the Rfam family "Bacterial small subunit ribosomal RNA", at positions 523 to 918 of the family's 1533-position model. The record is from RNAcentral.
AUACGUAGGUGACAAGCGUUAUCCGGAUUUACUGGGCGUAAAGGGCGUGUAGGCGGUCUUGCAAGUCAGAAGUGAAAUUCCUGAGCUCAACUCGGGCGCUGCUUCUGAAACUGCAGGACUUGAGUGCUGGAGGGGGUAGCGGAAUUCCUAGUGGAGCGGUAAAAUGCGCAGAUAUUAGGAAGAACACCGGUGGCGAAGGCGCUUCACUAGCCCGAAACUGACGCUCAGUCACGAAAGCGUGGGUAGCAAAUAGGAUUAGAUACCCUAGUAGUCCACGCUGUAAACGAUGACAACUAAAUAUUGCCGCGAGGCAGUGUUGAAGCUAACGCAUUAAGUUGUCCGCCUGGGGAGUACGGUCGCAAGACUGAAACUUAAAGGAAUUGACGGGG